Molecule: ribosomal RNA, 254 nt
Filed under: uncultured bacterium
Lineage: Bacteria
Description: partial 16S ribosomal RNA
Rfam family: Bacterial small subunit ribosomal RNA
Source: RNAcentral
UACGUAGGGGGCGAGCGUUGUCCGGAUUUAUUGGGCGUAAAGAGCUCGUAGGCGGUUUGGCAAGUCGGGUGUGAAAACUCCGGGCUCAACUCGGAGACGCCACUCGAUACUGCUAUGACUCGAGUCCGGUAGGGGAGUGCGGAAUUCCUGGUGUAGCGGUGAAAUGCGCAGAUAUCAGGAGGAACACCGGUGGCGAAGGCGGCACUCUGGGCCGGUACUGACGCUGAGGCGCGAAAGCGUGGGGAGCAAACAGG